UACGAAGGGGGCUAGCGUUGCUCGGAAUCACUGGGCGUAAAGGGUGCGUAGGCGGGUCUUUAAGUCAGGGGUGAAAUCCUGGAGCUCAACUCCAGAACUGCCUUUGAUACUGAGGAUCUUGAGUACGGGAGAGGUGAGUGGAACUGCGAGUGUAGAGGUGAAAUUCGUAGAUAUUCGCAAGAACACCAGUGGCGAAGGCGGCUCACUGGCCCGUAACUGACGCUGAGGCAUGAAAGCGUGGGGAGCAAACAGG
Molecule: ribosomal RNA, 253 nt
Filed under: uncultured bacterium
Lineage: Bacteria
Description: partial 16S ribosomal RNA
Rfam family: Bacterial small subunit ribosomal RNA
Source: RNAcentral